GCAGGGUGGCAACCCAGUAAUCAGCACAAGUUAAAAUGUGGGCAACUCGGCAGUCGUUGGCAGGCACUUUGGUGACUCUAGAUAUCCUCGGACCGAUCGCACAUCCCCAUGACGGCGACGACGCAUCCGGAUGUCUGCCCUAUCAACUUUCACUGUUACUUUCUGCACCUACCAUGGUGACCACGGAUAAUGGGGAAUCAGGGUUUGAUUCCGGAGAGGGAGCCCGAGAAACGGCUACCACAUCCAAGGAAGGCAACAGGCGCGCAAAUUACCCAUUCCCAACGGAGGUAGUGAC
This 295-nucleotide ribosomal RNA is filed under the name Pelobates cultripes (western spadefoot toad). RNAcentral describes it as "SSU_rRNA_microsporidia". It matches the Rfam family "Eukaryotic small subunit ribosomal RNA", at positions 174 to 471 of the family's 1831-position model. Lineage: Eukaryota; Metazoa; Chordata; Amphibia; Anura; Pelobatidae. The record is from RNAcentral.